UCCGGUGAUUCCCGACGGGCAUUGCAGGGGGAGAGCGGCGAUUCCCGGCGUGCACAGCCGGAGAGAGGGGCGAUUCAGGUGGUUCUGGCAGACAACGGAGGCGGAGGCCCAGUGACGAGCUUCCUGAGACAGCGCCAUGGACGCAUCCGCGAGUGGGCGACACGAUGGUCUCCUCCCCGACGGCGUCCUCUCGUCGGCGAAGAGGGACUCGCCCUCCACGGGAUCUCGCCGCAGUGUGAGGAGUCGCUGGUGGAGGUCCUGCUCGCGGAGGGGAGCGACGACGAGUCCCCAUGAAUUUGCAGAGGGAGGGGGCGAUGCCGUCUUCAGAUGAGGCGGGGCGCGCUUAUGGCGCCGCGCACGAGCUGGAGGCCCUCCUUAAUUUGCGCAUGCUCGCUUGCUCUUCCACGCCGACGAGGAGGAGGCCCUCUUCCUCUUCCGAGAUGACGACGAUGAGGCGCAAGGCCGAGGCGACUGUGGCACCACUGGUCGGUGACGACGGGGCCGUGCUCCGCCUGCUCCGUGCUCACGCAGACAAUAGACGCCAUGGAGCUGAAUUCAAGGUCCCAUAUCCUAUCAAUGUUUUUGGUUCCUACUCUAAUGCAUAUGUUGCGUUGUGCCUGUGUUUCAUUUCAGACGCCAGCAUUAUAUAGGCACAUUGGUAGAGAUGUCAUGGCAGUAGUUAUUUGAUCUGGUUUUAUAAUUGAUAGGGAUAAUCUAUGGCACUUCCAUAUAUGCAGUGAAUGGCUAGUUGGCAUGCGUACCACUAUAAUUCUUGCCAUUUCGUUUGCUCAGGAAGAACAAUUUUCUGCUAUGGCAAACACAUACAAUUUUUAACAUCACUGAAUAGAAGAUAUAUUUACUUCAAUCAUCUUUUCAUGGUAGAUAUGUAAUGGCGGUUUCAACCCCACAGUUACCUGCCCCGACGAGGAGCGCCGUCCCUAUGAGGCUGUCGCCUGGUUAAAGUGUGACGGCCUCGACCGCCUCGCGAUGGCCCCCCUGCGUUGGAUUCUGAUUUCCUUGUCAGUGUGACGAUGCUUGCGAUUUGCAAGGGCAUCGGAGCUCUGCGGGUUCCUCGACAAAAGCAAAUCAGGUGACCGUUGUUUCUUUGUUCUGGGAAAAUGUAGCUCAAUUCACAUAUGUGGGAUGAUCGGUUCAGUUAGUUGUACAGUCUAUUGUUUGAUGAGCUCGAUGCACUUUGUGUUGUAAGGAUUUUAUUUGAGAUAGUGCAGUCAUAUUAGCUUCUGCACCUGGAGUGCCCAUGCUGCAUUGAGUGGGACAAUUCCAUUUUUUCUGGAGUUUUGUUCUUGAUUGGAUUGUGAAAUAAAUCACUAAUUGUGGUUCUGCGAUCGACUUCUUAAAGCCAUCAGCGCUAUUGAUCAUAAACAAGCACUCUAGCACCAGGUGACUUACUAGUUUUGCUUGACCUGGUCGAAUAAAUAAUUUUGCCAUGAUAAAUAAAUGACAUUUGC
Molecule: long non-coding RNA, 1469 nt
Filed under: Triticum aestivum (bread wheat)
Lineage: Eukaryota; Viridiplantae; Streptophyta; Magnoliopsida; Poales; Poaceae
Description: long non-coding RNA (TAES_LNC017688)
Source: RNAcentral